GAUGAACGCUGGCGGCGUGCCUAAUACAUGCAAGUCGAACGAACGGACGAGAAGCUUGCUUCUCUGAUGUUAGCGGCGGACGGGUGAGUAACACGUGUAUAACCUACCUAUAAGACUGGGAUAACUUCGGCAAACCGUAGCUAAUACCGGAUAAUAUUUUGAACCUCAUUGUUCAAAAGUGAAAUACGGUCUUUCUGUCACUUAUAGAUGGCUCCGCGCUGCAUUAGCUAGUUGUUAAGGUAACGGCUUACCAAGGCAACGAUGCAUAGACGACCUGAGCGGGUCGUUGGCCACACGGUCAGUGAGACAGGUUCGCGACACCUACAGGAGGACGCGGUAGGGAAUCUUACGCAAGGGGGGAGAGCGUGACAUAGCACAGUGGGGGGAGUGAUGAAGGUCUUAGGAUGCUAAAGUUAUGUUAGUAUGGAAGAACAAAUGUGUAAGUAACUGUGAUGAUAUUGACGGUACCUAGUCAGAAAGCCACGGCUAACUACGUG
Molecule: ribosomal RNA, 497 nt
Filed under: uncultured bacterium
Lineage: Bacteria
Description: partial 16S ribosomal RNA
Rfam family: Bacterial small subunit ribosomal RNA
Source: RNAcentral